UUUUGCCCUCAGGUCAAGC
This 19-nucleotide ribosomal RNA is filed under the name Arceuthobium hondurense. RNAcentral describes it as "partial 26S ribosomal RNA". Lineage: Eukaryota; Viridiplantae; Streptophyta; Magnoliopsida; Santalales; Viscaceae. The record is from RNAcentral.